GACGAACCCUUCGGGGUUAGUGGCGCACGGGUGCGUAACGCGUGGGAACCUGCCUUUAGGUUCGGAAUAACUCAGAGAAAUUUGAGCUAAUACCGGAUAAUGUCUUCGGACCAAAGAUUUAUCGCCUUUAGAUGGGCCCGCGUUAGAUUAGAUAGUUGGUGGGGUAACGGCCUACCAAGUCGACGAUCUAUAGCUGGUCUGAGAGGAUGAUCAGCCACACUGGGACUGAGACACGGCCCAGACUCCUACGGGAGGCAGCAGUGGGGAAUAUUGGACAAUGCGGGAAACCGUGAUCCAGCAAUGCCGCGUGAGUGAUGAAGGCCUUAGGGUUGUAAAGCUCUUUUACUAGGGAUGAUAAUGACAGUACCUAGAGAAUAAGCUCCGGCUAACUCCGUGCCAGCAGCCGCGGUAAUACGGAGGGAGCUAGCGUUGUUCGGAAUUACUGGGCGUAAAGCGCGCGUAGGCGGCUAUUCAAGUCAGAGGUGAAAUCCCGGGGCUCAACCCCGGAACUGCCUUUGAAACUAGAUAGCUAGAAUAUUGGAGAGGUGAGUGGAAUUCCGAGUGUAGAGGUGAAAUUCGUAGAUAUUCGGAAGAACACCAGUGGCGAAGGCGACUCACUGGACAAUUAUUGACGCUGAGGUGCG
This 644-nucleotide ribosomal RNA is filed under the name Erythrobacter sp. RNAcentral describes it as "bacterial SSU rRNA". It matches the Rfam family "Bacterial small subunit ribosomal RNA", at positions 65 to 755 of the family's 1533-position model. The record is from RNAcentral. Lineage: Bacteria; Pseudomonadati; Pseudomonadota; Alphaproteobacteria; Sphingomonadales; Erythrobacteraceae.